CGUUCGCCGCUCUAGGUUCCGCCUUCUCUCGGUGCCGGGCCGCGGGCGCGCGAUGGAGGCCGGGUACUGGGUGAUCGGCGGUGAGUUCGAGGACUCGGUGUUCGAGGAGAGGCCGGAGCGGCGGCCCAGGCCUCCCGCGCCCUACAGCGCCAAGCGUUGCGAGCCACAGUGGUUUUAUGAAGAAACAGAGAUCGGCGAAGAUGCGGAAGUUCUGACUAUCAAGAAAUUCAAAGGGGAUCUGGCCUACAGACGACGGGAUUAUCAGAAAGCUCUGCAGGAGUACUCCAGUAUCUCUGAAAAAUUGUCAUCUAGCAAUUUUGCUAUGAGAAGAGAUGUCCAAGAAGGCCAGGCUCGUUGUCUGGCUCACCUGGGAAGGCAUGUGGAAGCACUGGAGAUUGCUACGAGCUUGGAAAAUAAAGCAACCAAUACAGACCAUUUAACCACAGUGCUCUACCUCCAGUUUGCUAUUUGCUCAAGUUUGCAGAACUUGGAGAAAACAAUUUUCUGCCUGCAAAAACUGAUUUCUUUGCAUCCUUUUAAUCCUUGGAGCUGGGGCAAAUUGGCAGAGGCUUACCUGAGUCUGGGGCCAACUCUUUCAGCCUCAUUUGCGUCAUCUCAGAGACAGAGCAGUUUCACCUCACAUGACAAAACUAUCAAAUCUUCCUUUCCACACUCAAGAAAAGACCAUCUUUUGUGUUUCCCUGAAACCUUGCCUGAGAGCUUGGUGUUUUCCAUGGAAGCAGGCAGCCAGCAAGCUGAAAAAGCUCUUACAGAUAUUCCAAACUGUAUAGCAGAAAGGAGAGAAGCAGUGUGGGCAGAGACUCAGAUGAAAGCAUGUGCCUGCUUGAUCCGAGCCAGGCUUUUGCUUCAGCUCACCCAACCUCAGCAAACAUCAUUUGCUUUGGAGAAGAACUUAAAGACUCAGCAGGAAAUCAAAGAUAAAAUGAAAGAAUUCAGCUUCAAAGAAGACACUUUGCUGUUGGUCACUGAGAUUAUGGGAGAGGAUAUCAUCCCAGAAAAUAUAAAGGAUGAAGUUCACUUGGAGGUGAAGUGUAUUGGCCCUGCAGCCCUAACUGCCCUGGUGACUGCAUCCUUGAAAGAAUUUGAAGACAAGUGGUUUGGAAAGAUCAAAGACCAUUUUUGUCCUUUUGAAAAUCAGUUCCAUAUAGAGAUACCGAUCUUGGCGCAGAAGUCCGCUUAAAAGCAAAACCAUCUUGCACUGCGUUAAUCAUCCUGUUUUCUUCAGGAAAUAGCAACAGGAGUUGCUGCCUCAACAUGGGAAAUUGUGAAGGAAAAUGAUUAUUUAUGUUUUCUAAAACAGCUUCUCCCCAGAUUGCUCCAUCUCUGUUCAGUUUUGUUGCUUUGUGUUUUCUUUUUCGAUUUGUGCUCUCCCCUUUAAGUACAGUAUCAUGGCCUACCUAGAAGAUAUGUAUAGAGAAAGUAUAUAAAGGUGGUGUGUUAGCUUUUCAUUGUUGUGACAAAAUGCCCGACCUAACUUUAAGGAAGGAAAGUUUUAUUUUGGCUCAGUUUCCAAGGUUUCCAUCCGCCUCAGCACAUCUGCUCACCUCGUGGUGGCCAGGAAGAGAAAGAGACACAGAGGCCCAGGACAAGAUCCAGCCGUAAGGACAUGACCUCAAUGACCUUCCUUCAGUCAUAAAACCUUGAUUGAGCCUUGCAGUGGUGUGACGAGGCGGGGCAGGCGAGCCAAAUUAUCACGCACCAUCUUUGCCAAGGCCUUCAACUGACUGGAUGAGGUCUGCUCACAUUGGGAAGGACAAUCUGUUUUCCUCGGUCUACGAGUCAAUGUUAAUCUCAUCCAGAGACAUCCAGAGUAAUGUAUGACCAAAUAUCUGUAUGUAUGACCACUCCACAGCCCAGUUGACACAUAAAAUUAGCUAUCAUAAAUCCACCUGUGUCAACUUGGCAUCUCUGCACAGCUCUUUAAACUCCUAUUCCAAUUUGACCAGCAUCCUUUAAGAAGAGGAGAUUGGACAGUCAAGGUCACCCAUGUUGUGUUAGUCAGGAUUUUGUUGUUGCUGUGACAGUCCAUGGUCAGCUGGCUCUGUUGUUUCUGAACCUGUGGUGAUCAUCAUGGCAGAAGGGCCUGGUAGAGCAGAGCAGCUCACCUCAUGGCAGUCAGGAAGGAGGGGAGAAGGAGCCAGUGCAAGAUAGACCCUUCAAAGCCACACCCCAGUGACCUACUUCCUCCAACCAGGCCCCACCUUCCACAGUUCUACCAACUCCCAACAGUCUAUUCAGAUUUUGAAUCUACCAGUGGAUUAAAACAUUCAUUAGGUCAGAGCCCUCACAAUCCAGUCAUCUCUGGAAAUCCCUCCAGACUCCCCUCAAAAAAUCAAACUGACAAUCAAAAUUAACCACCGCAAGUGAAGAGGCAGCAGGGGAGAAGCCAUCUGCAAGCCAAAGAAGGAAGCUUUUAGGAGCCAGCUCUGAUGACACCUAGACUUCAGCUUCGAGAACUGUGAGCAAGUACAUUUCCGCUGUCAAAGCUGUCUGGUAUUUAUGUGACAGCAGCUGUAGGAGUGUCCUGUCCCUGAGAAGACUUGCUCACUCCUUCCCUCUUCCUUGGCUGCCCUCUUUGCUUGGCCUGAAGCACCUCCCUCGCCUUCAGGGUUUGUCUUGCUUAUUCUUCCAUGUUCCUGAAAAGCCAACGAAGUUACCUGUCUGUGCUUCUCAGGGAUGCAUAAGGAAGGGGCUCACAGAGCUUGGAGCCGCUUCACUAGCACCCAUUUAGUGUGGGGUGGAGCAUGGUGGCAGGGGCCUAGAAAUUUCCUCCCAAGCCAGGGCCAUCAGCCUGGAAGUUGUCUUUGUGUGGAUCUGAAAAAGGCACCCUUGCCAGCCUUGGGAGCAGUCGGUGGAAGAAGCCACCCUUGGCCCAGUGUGUACAUUGCACCACUGUGCCGGGGCUGUCUCCUUGGGACCUUCUGUCCACUUAGCACACUGCCUCACCAUUUGCUUCACCAUACCCUGAAGAGAAAACAAGAUGGGACACCUGAGAAACAACACGGCUCACAGAAUACACUGAAUGACAACCAAGAGGAGGUCGUAUCUGUGCUUGUCUUGUGUCUGCAAUAUUUACAUCUGAUAACAGUUUUUCUGACACAUAAGCACUCUGCAGAAGGAAGCUGGGAAUGUGAGUGACAAUUUCUUUAUGUCCAACAGUUUCUUGGAUCAAGUUCAAAGCAUGAAGCAUUAAAAGAAACUUUUACACUUUGAUGAAGGCCAACAGGGCAUUCCAGGAAUACAAGUGCAGGCAGGGGUGGCCCUUUCUGACCUGUUGAGGUCACCCAGAAUCUGAGUGUCCAUCUGCCCUAUGGUAGCACAGCUCCUCCCCAGUGCUUAACUGAGGACCCGUGAUCACGCAAUUGGAUGAACCACAGUGUUGCUGCUGCCCUCCUGGGGCCCACAGAGAUGCUGUUGGCCUCUGGGCUGUUACUGUGUAGGGUCUGUGAUCCCAAACCUUGGUUUGUAGGAUGCAUUUGGCCAGGGGUGGAGCACCCUUCCACUGGGCCCCCCAGGGACACAACAAUCCUGCCAUUUCUUUCAUUCUUGGGCUUUUUCUGGUGGUGUUCACAGGUAGGUACCUCCCAGCUGACUUGGAGUUCUUAGGGCAGAGAGAUGUAUUGCCUGGAAUUGGCUCUGUGUGUGGCCCACAGGAGGUGCUCAGGUGCUAUUUUUAGGUGUCACUCUGUAGUAGAGACUAUGUUUAAGGACAGCCUCCAGCAGGCAGGUCCUACCAAAGGAGGUGCAGGGGUGAUUAGAACUCGGGGUGGAAUUAAAGAUCGAAUGAGAUCAGGUUAGGUAGGGUUUGAAAUUUGGUUAAGACCUAGUUCCAGCUCUCCACCACCCCAUUGCCAGGACCAUUUCUGGUCCUCUGGUAGAAAUGGUGUCUUGGAAAGUGAGCCCAAGGCACCCCAAAGGAUGUCACAGCCUCAAACCAGUCUUGGAGGUCACAUCCAUCAGAUGAAGCUGGGUCAUGGCGCACCCACAUCUUAGUGGCUUAAACAGCACAGGCUUACUUCCUGCUCUAAUGUAGCAUGGCAGGGCAGUGGGAUGGGAGUGAGGGGUUCUGCUGACUGAGGUCACUUAGGAAAAGGGGCUGCACCCAGAUCUCCGCUUCAGUGAUCCUGACACUCGCGCCACUAAUCAGAGCAAAGCACACCUACCUCCUGGCCAGCAGGCCAUGGGAUGCUCCAAGGGCCCAAGAGAGGCAGACUGCAUAUCUGUGAACCAUGGGAAGAUGCUCACCACCCCAGAGGGGAAGCUGCUGUUGGGGGUAGCACAGGGGUCCAGGGCUGAGCCACACGGCAGGUGUGGCAGGGCGGGUGCUGGAAUGCUGGGUUUGGAAGCUUUUGUCACCCCAGCAAGCUUUCCCUGCCUUCACCUUUCUCAGCAGACUGUGAAAUCCUAUUUAGAAUACUCAGCUGGCCUGGUAAUUCUACCCUUGUCCCAAUGUCAGCUGGGAAACAGCAGCCUGAGGGCUGGGACCUCCAAACCAUCAGAAACCCCAGGGUUUUUUAUUUGUUUGCUUUUUACUAUCAGGAACUAAGGAGGAAAAAAGUGACUUGAGGAAAGGAAUAGAAUUUAAAAGAAACAGAAGCAGAAGGCAAAAUGCCCCUGCCCUUUCCAGGAGUGGUGACAAAUAGGAACAAGGGACGAUGGGUGGUUAUGGGGAGGCAGUCCUUGCAGAGCUGCAGAGCGGGACUGGUGGGCCACACGUGCUGUCAUGGCUCAGGCCACAAGGAGGAAGGGCUCUGUUCUUCAGCCCCUCACAGCAAAGGCCAGGCUCUUGAGCCGGAGCAGAGCCAAAGAGAAGACAUUUGCUUUGAUGACUCGUGGGUGGCAGGAGAGGGCCUAGGACCAGAAGAGGGCAGGGGCCCUGGUGCCUGCUUCUCUCUGCCUGGACCAGCCCUGAGCACAGCCCACUGCCUGUCCCUUCCCUGGCUCUCACCUCUGAUGUAGGGAUAACUGUAAUUUUGGGAAUGAAUGAAUGAAUGAUAGGACUCCUAAUGGAUCUGUAUUCAUUCCUGGGAGGUGGAGGAAGUCAGCUGGCCACUAGAGGCACCCGGAGCUGAAGGUAGCUGGCUACACCAGGCAGCUGAAUGCUGGGCAGCAGUCAGUGCUGACAACUCAAGCCACUGUGGCUAGCCCAGGUUCCAGGGAUCUCCAGGCCAGUCACGACUCUUUGAAGUAAGACUCUGAAUCUGUUAAAUUGCCUUGUCCAACCAGAACCUCCACACCUGUCAACUUAGUCCCCCCAUCCCUACCUGCUUCAAGUGGCCACACAGAACUUAAAGACAGGUCCUAGGGCCUCAUCCUUAAUUCACCCUUUCCAGGGUGAUGGUGGUGAAAAAAGGUUUCCGGACUAUUCUAGAAACAUCCAGAAUCUUCCUAUAUCCUCUCCUAAAUCUUUCCUUUCUGAAUCUUUGGGGGGUGGGGUGGGCCAUUCUUGGGCACUGGGACACAGAAUUUCCUCAGUUCCUCAGUCUGCUGUUGGUAAAACUCGGGCCACAUCCACCCCUUCUUAAAUUGUGGAACUUUGGGUUCCAUUAAUAUUGAAGCUGUGGGUAAUUUUGGAAGACAGGUGCUCUUUUAGUGUGAUUUUGUCCUCACCCCCCUCCCACCUUUCUGGAACCUUCUGGAAUGGGUUAUAUAGGCCAAACCAGAGAGAGGAACCUGGAGACUUGUGGGAGCUGGCAAGUGGAUGGCCUCAGUCCUGGGAACACUCAAAUGUAGUCAGUGGUAUUGUCAGAGUGCCUUUAGCUCAGAGGGAAUCAGGUUCAAUGCUAUUGGUCAUUAAGGUGAAGUUUUUGAGCCAGAAAAUCUAGC
Castor canadensis (American beaver) is the source of this 5847-nucleotide non-coding RNA. Lineage: Eukaryota; Metazoa; Chordata; Mammalia; Rodentia; Castoridae. The record is from RefSeq and is a predicted model, not a curated record.